This is a long non-coding RNA of Nomascus leucogenys (northern white-cheeked gibbon), 848 nucleotides long. RefSeq lists it as uncharacterized. The record is from RefSeq and is a predicted model, not a curated record. Lineage: Eukaryota; Metazoa; Chordata; Mammalia; Primates; Hylobatidae.
CUCUCUCCAGGCCUAAAUGAAUAAAGGCAUGACACUGAGACUGAAGGCUAGUUCUACUUCAGAACCACAGAGACAUGAACACCAGCAAGUUUGAGGUUGGAUAAGGAUCUUCAGAACUCCUCAGCUUCGGAUAGUCAAGCCUGCUUCGUCCCUUCUUCAACGGCAUGUCUAGCAUGUAUACUUCCCUUAAAUCCACCUUCGUAGCAUUUGCUGAUGGAAGAGGCAUGACAGAGUCCAUGCCUUCGCCUCCUCUGGCCAACUCUAAUCAUGAAACUCCUGUGAAUCAGCUGGGAAACAUGCAGAAUAUGAGAUUGGGGCCCUCAUUCAUACAAACUGGAAUUUUCCUUGGCAAUGGUAGAGUAGAAGCUUCUCCAUUCUUUAGAGAUGAAUUUGCUUUAAGUAAGAUCUUCCCAGAGUACAAAAGAAAUUUAUUCUGGAAAUUUCAAACUAAUAUGGCCUCCUCACUGGAACUGGAUCCACCAUCCUUUUCUCUCAGUGUCUUCUUGUUUAUGUUUUAGAUCUUUUGCAAGGUGAGCUACACCUCUGAGAGGAGCUCCUGGAAAUCACCAGAGAUACUUAAUGUUGCCAGCUGUACAGAUGGAGAUGAUGCACCUUGAUGAGGAAUAAGUACUGAGCCUGAAUCCUACAAAUGGGAAAAGGUGCUCAUAUCAGACUUAUGCAUUAGAUAUCAAACUACAAAGUACAAGUGCAGUUGAUACCUGUUUAGAUGAUGUAGAGCAAGGAAACAGAGUAUGUGUUAAAAGCAAAAAUUCCCAUGAAGCUGAACUGUUACUCUGCCAAAGCCUCCCACUCUCAAGUUUUAAGAGCCAAUAAACCUUGUAUCUGUA